This 530-nucleotide ribosomal RNA is filed under the name uncultured bacterium. RNAcentral's name for it is "bacterial SSU rRNA". It matches the Rfam family "Bacterial small subunit ribosomal RNA", at positions 356 to 896 of the family's 1533-position model. The record is from RNAcentral.
GGGGAAUAUUGCACAAUGGGCGCAAGCCUGAUGCAGCGACGCCGCGUGAGGGAUGACGGCCUUCGGGUUGUAAACCUCUUUCAGUAGGGAAGAAGCGAAAGUGACGGUACCUGCAGAAGAAGCGCCGGCUAACUACGUGCCAGCAGCCGCGGUAAUACGUAGGGCGCGAGCGUUAUCCGGAAUUAUUGGGCGUAAAGAGCUCGUAGGCGGUUUGUCGCGUCUGCCGUGAAAGUCCGGGGCUUAACCCCGGAUCUGCGGUGGGUACGGGCAGACUAGAGUGCAGUAGGGGAGACUGGAAUUCCUGGUGUAGCGGUGAAAUGCGCAGAUAUCAGGAGGAACACCGAUGGCGAAGGCAGGUCUCUGGGCUGUAACUGACGCUGAGGAGCGAAAGCAUGGGGAGCGAACAGGAUUAGAUACCCUGGUAGUCCAUGCCGUAAACGUUGGGCACUAGGUGUGGGGGACAUUCCACGUUUUCCGCGCCGUAGCUAACGCAUUAAGUGCCCCGCCUGGGGAGUACGGCCGCAAGGCUA